Molecule: ribosomal RNA, 1248 nt
Filed under: Arthrobacter sp. 46
Lineage: Bacteria; Bacillati; Actinomycetota; Actinomycetes; Micrococcales; Micrococcaceae
Description: bacterial SSU rRNA
Rfam family: Bacterial small subunit ribosomal RNA
Source: RNAcentral
ACGGGUGAGUAACACGUGAGUAACCUGCCCUUAACUCUGGGAUAAGCCUGGGAAACUGGGUCUAAUACUGGAUAUUGACUUUUCCUCGCAUGGGGUUUGGUUGAAAGCUUUAGUGGUUUUGGAUGGACUCGCGGCCUAUCAGCUUGUUGGUGAGGUAAUGGCUCACCAAGGCGACGACGGGUAGCCGGCCUGAGAGGGUGACCGGCCACACUGGGACUGAGACACGGCCCAGACUCCUACGGGAGGCAGCAGUGGGGAAUAUUGCACAAUGGGCGAAAGCCUGAUGCAGCGACGCCGCGUGAGGGAUGACGGCCUUCGGGUUGUAAACCUCUUUCAGUAGGGAACAAGGCCACACGUUGUGUGGUUGAGGGUACUUGCAGAAGAAGCACCGGCUAACUACGUGCCAGCAGCCGCGGUAAUACGUAGGGUGCAAGCGUUAUCCGGAAUUAUUGGGCGUAAAGAGCUCGUAGGCGGUUUGUCGCGUCUGCCGUGAAAGUCCGGGGCUCAACCCCGGAUCUGCGGUGGGUACGGGCAGACUAGAGUGAUGUAGGGGAGACUGGAAUUCCUGGUGUAGCGGUGAAAUGCGCAGAUAUCAGGAGGAACACCGAUGGCGAAGGCAGGUCUCUGGGCAUUAACUGACGCUGAGGAGCGAAAGCAUGGGGAGCGAACAGGAUUAGAUACCCUGGUAGUCCAUGCCGUAAACGUUGGGCACUAGGUGUGGGGACAUUCCACGUUUUCCGCGCCGUAGCUAACGCAUUAAGUGCCCCGCCUGGGGAGUACGGCCGCAAGGCUAAAACUCAAAGGAAUUGACGGGGGCCCGCACAAGCGGCGGAGCAUGCGGAUUAAUUCGAUGCAACGCGAAGAACCUUACCAAGGCUUGACAUAAACUGGAAACGCUUGGAAACAAGUGCCCCGCUUGCGGUCGGUUUACAGGUGGUGCAUGGUUGUCGUCAGCUCGUGUCGUGAGAUGUUGGGUUAAGUCCCGCAACGAGCGCAACCCUCGUUCUAUGUUGCCAGCACGUAAUGGUGGGGACUCAUAGGAGACUGCCGGGGUCAACUCGGAGGAAGGUGAGGACGACGUCAAAUCAUCAUGCCCCUUAUGUCUUGGGCUUCACGCAUGCUACAAUGGCCGGUACAAUGGGUUGCGAUACUGUGAGGUGGAGCUAAUCCCAAAAAGCCGGUCUCAGUUCGGAUUGGGGUCUGCAACUCGACCCCAUGAAGUCGGAGUCGCUAGUAAUCGCAGAUCAG